UAGGGAAUCUUGGACAAUGGGCGAAAGCCUGAUCCAGCCAUGCCGCGUGAGUGAUGAAGGCCUUAGGGUUGUAAAGCUCUUUCGCCAGGGAAGAUAAUGACGGUACCUGGAUAAGAAGCCCCGGCUAACUUCGUGCCAGCAGCCGCGGUAAUACGAAGGGGGCUAGCGUUGUUCGGAAUUACUGGGCGUAAAGGGCUCGUAGGUGGCCAACUAAGUCAGACGUGAAAUCCCCAGGCUUAACCUGGGAACUGCGUCUGAUACUGGCUGGCUUGAAUUCGGGAGAGGGAUGCAGAAUUCCAGGUGUAGCGGUGAAAUGCGUAGAUAUCUGGAGGAAUACCGGUGGCGAAGGCGGCAUCCUGGACCGAGAUUGACACUGAGGAGCGAAAGCUAGGGGAGCAAA
This 400-nucleotide ribosomal RNA is filed under the name uncultured bacterium. RNAcentral's name for it is "bacterial SSU rRNA". It matches the Rfam family "Bacterial small subunit ribosomal RNA", at positions 355 to 772 of the family's 1533-position model. The record is from RNAcentral.